UGUGGACUGAGUCCUAAAGGGUGAGACGGGCCGGCAUGGGAGGUCUGAGGGAACAGUGUGCCAGGCAGAGGGAACAGCAGCAGGUGCAGAGACCGAGGGGAGGAAACAGGUCUUGAGAAUUGGAGGACUAGAAACGAGGCCAGCGUGUGUGAGUCAUAAGGCAUAAGAGUGGUUGGGGAUGGGGACAUGGAAAGACUUCGCAAAGCAUCGAGUGGGCCAGAAGGAGAAGGGAAUGGUGUUGUCAUUGUGAGUUAUUACUGCAGUGACAGUGGGCUUUGUGUCCAGCCCUAGAUUCCAGAGACGAGGAGGACCCUCCCACCCGUUCACUUCAGGAAGACCAUGAACCUUCCCCCUUGCAUCGCCAUUGGCUGAAUCAGGUCGGCUCUGCUGGCCGCAGACUCGUUCUCUGUUUAUCAAAGGCUGUAGCAGGUGCAUUAAAACGUAUCAGCCCAGCCCCAGGCAGAUGGAGGCGACACGGAGAGCUUGGAAUCGAAAAGAGCUGCUGAUCACCGUGACCCCAAGAUACACCUGCUUUCUCUUUGUUAAGGAAUUAGACACGAUACUUUCAUCUUUAAAAACAGAUCAAAGAAAGAAAGAAGGGAAGGAAGGAAGGAAGGAAGGAAGGAAAGAAGAAAAUGCCUGCAAAUCCUUGGUCGUACAUACUUUCUGGUGUUUGACAUCUCCCAGACGUGGUUUGAACUUUGAACAGUCUUAUGGAAACUUUGAGAUCGUGUAAGAACCGCUCUCCCCCUGACACUGUAACAGGAACUCAUACUGAUAUUGGCUUGUUAAGUUACAGAGCAUGUGGGUUCCCAUCAGUCGACAGGUGAGUCAGCAAUCCAAAGAGGUCUCCAAGGACCGGAUUCUUUCCAUUUUGGCGUUGUCUUCUGAGUGGACUUCUUUCUGCCCGAGGGAGGAGACCCUCCUGGGGACUGAGGGUCACGUGGGUUCAGAAGAAACAAUCAGGCCGAGGAAAGCUUUGGAAGCUUUCUUAAAGGAGCAAGCAGGAAGUUUUCUAGACAACUCCAGCAAACCCUUUCUGGAACCUCCUUGGCCCCAACUGCGUCACAUGUGUGUUCUUGACCAAAUCACUGCCCAGGAAAACGGCUGGAGCCAGCUCCUUAUAGGCCCGUGGAAUGUGAGGGGGACAGGGGCUUCACGAGAAGCCAAGGACCCUUCCUGGGGAGGGUUGGUCGUGGAUGCAGUGGGCAGUCAGCGAUACCCACCGGCUGCCUAGGAAAACCAGCCUCAUCCGCCAGCCUCACUGAAGGCAAACUGUUUUCUUCUCCUUACUGCUCGCAUCGAACACUUCUUCCCACCCCCCCCAAUUUUGCAGCACAGCUGGGUGUACUGCAUUUCAGUUCAGUUCUGACACUGUCCGCUCUGAGUUAGCGUCAGACCCCGCAGGCCAAGGGCUCAGUCCCACAAGACCCCACAGGCCAAGGGCUCAGUCCCACAAGACCCCACAGGCCAAGGGCUCAGUCCCACAAGACCCCACAGGCCAAGGGCUCAGU
Molecule: long non-coding RNA, 1514 nt
Organism: Felis catus (domestic cat)
Lineage: Eukaryota; Metazoa; Chordata; Mammalia; Carnivora; Felidae
Exons: 3
Source: RefSeq, a predicted model, not a curated record